CUAAGGUAUCUAAAAGGGAGGUAAUACAAUAUGUCAAAUUGCUAAACCCGCCAUAUUGGAUAAGCAUACGACAGCUGGCCACUUUGUUUCGAUGGAAUCAUCCAGUAAGCCAUGAAAUCUAGUCUGCUUUAUUUUCUGCACAGUUUGUUUUGUUUGGUGCACUGAAACGUCAUGGAUACUACAAUGGAAAUAAAAAAUUGUACAGAAAUCAGUUGGAAGCUUUCUAGAAUAAUUAAGUUCUUUUAUAGGGCAUCCUCAAUUGGUUUUGUCGAUCUAAUGCUUGGGAUUCCUUAAACCAUAGAAGAAGUUGCAUCGGACAGACAUAACCGGAAAAAUAGAAUGUGAGCAAGUUUCAUCGAGAAACGAUUACGAAAGUUCAAUGCCUAAACACGACCCGGCCAAUUGAAUACUAUUUGGUUUGUUCCAUUGUUUCAUCAAUAACAUUAAUUUGUUUCAACACCGUUAGUCUUAGAAUGUUUUAUCCUGUGUUAGGAUUUUUAUCCAGGCAAAUAAAUAAUGAGCUGCAACAAUGCUUUAAAUGAAUGAGUUGAAACUAUCUUUUAUUCUACACAAAAAAUUUAAUUAUAAUAAAAUUCUAUUCUGGCUCUUGAUACUUGGCGGAAUGCGUUUUAUUUUGCCAUAUUCAGGGUUGGUAACCAUCGGUUUCGUCACUGAACGAUGACGAAAAAUUGAAAAAAAUAUUCAGUGCGUAAAAGAUCGUCAUUUUCAUUGUCUUCAAUGACUGACAAGGAGACCACGACAAAACAAAACCGCAAAAAGUCCACGAUUAAUAUUUUUCGUCACUCCUCCCGUUACCCCAACGCACUGAACCAACAUAAGCUUCUAAUCGUCGCCGAGCUCACAAUUGCGGACAAAGAGAGUCUGAGCUACGAACUACUAGUCAACAAGGUGUCUUGUGUUAGAAAUUGAGCAAGCACAUUUUCACGAAGAUCAUAAGAAUGUUUUGGAAGACUCCAUUUUUUGCUGCAGCUUCCGAAACACCUAAAUUUUUGCCGCUAUAUAUUUUUAUUAUGAAUAUUCACCGUUGCUUUACCAUAGUUUUUUGAAGCGAAACUGCCUUGGUGUUGUAACGAACUCACGCCUCUAAGCACGAAACCAUAUCGGAGUGCAUCGGCGGAAUCUACCCCACGCUGGCCGAGUCACUGAGAACAUUCAACCCGAAGGAUGGUUCCAUGGCGGCCGCAAAUGGUUUUAGGAAAACGAUCUAUAAUUACGAAGUUAUCCACGCCACUGACAUUCCGGCCGCUUUUCAAGACAUGGGGCCAACCUGAACUGGAAGGUCAUCGAUGCGUACGCCUACCUGAUUCGGAUUGAAAUCCCCCAGCAGCUGGGCGAAAAACCAAUGCUAGCUGACCCGUUCCCUGUCCAUCGAGAAUGACGGCAUAAAUAUCCAGAGCAUCGCCGUUGGUCAAGCCGUAGCUGUCCAGGUAAUGAGGUUCGAUCCCAACCAACGAAUAUUGCUCGACCGAUCUCUUCAGCAGGAAAUCAGCUAUUAUUCACCGAAGAACAUACUUGCUGGCGGCAACAUCGAUAUAGUUAUAAUUAACGAUGUAAUUACAUAUCUACACCUGAGGAAUUAAAAUAAAACACCAAAAUCGCUGUUUCUUUUUGCAUUGUUGACAAAAAUCAAUCUACCAUAUCAAGCAUAAUUCUUCAAUACGACGUAUCUGCAAAAAUAAACAAAUCGAGAUUUGCUUUCCAUGGGCUUGACAAACGCAUAAUCUACGUACUGAGUCUAUAAAUGUAUUCCUACAACCAUUUUUUUGAUUU
RNAcentral lists this long non-coding RNA (1791 nucleotides) under Aedes aegypti (yellow fever mosquito). Its description in RNAcentral is "lncRNA AAEL021461". The record is from RNAcentral. Lineage: Eukaryota; Metazoa; Arthropoda; Insecta; Diptera; Culicidae.